AUUGAACGCUGGCGGCAUGCCUUACACAUGCAAGUCGAACGGUAACGGGCCUUCGGGUGCCGACGAGUGGCGAACGGGUGAGUAAUACAUCGGAACGUGCCCGAUCGUGGGGGAUAACGAGGCGAAAGCUUUGCUAAUACCGCAUACGAUCUACGGAUGAAAGCAGGGGACCGCAAGGCCUUGCGCGGACGGAGCGGCCGAUGGCAGAUUAGGUAGUUGGUGGGAUAAAAGCUUACCAAGCCGACGAUCUGUAGCUGGUCUGAGAGGAUGAUCAGCCACACUGGGACUGAGACACGGCCCAGACUCCUACGGGAGGCAGCAGUGGGGAAUUUUGGACAAUGGGCGCAAGCCUGAUCCAGCCAUGCCGCGUGCAGGAUGAAGGCCUUCGGGUUGUAAACUGCUUUUGUACGGAAAGAAAAGCCUUCUUUUAAUACAGGAGGGUCAUGACGGUACCGGAAGAAUAAGCACCGGCUAACUACGUG
RNAcentral lists this ribosomal RNA (482 nucleotides) under uncultured bacterium. Its description in RNAcentral is "partial 16S ribosomal RNA". It matches the Rfam family "Bacterial small subunit ribosomal RNA", at positions 30 to 507 of the family's 1533-position model. The record is from RNAcentral.